UUCGAUUCUGGCUCAGGAUGAACGCUGGCGGCAGGCUUAAUACAUGCAAGUUGAACGGUAACAUGUUGUAGCAAUACGAUGAUGACGAGUGGCGCACGGGUGCGUAACACGUGUGUAACCUACCUUAUACAGGAACAUAACGUUGAGAAAUCGGCGCUAACAUUCCAUAAUAUUAUUUGUAGGCAUCUAUGAAUAAUUAAAACUCCGGUGGUAUAAGAUGGGCACGCGUUCCAUUAGCUAGUUGGUAAGGUAACGGCUUACCAAGGCAACGAUGGAUAGGGGUUCUGAGAGGAUAAUCCCCCACACUGGAACUGAGACACGGUCCAGACUCCUACGGGAGGCAGCAGUAAGGAAUAUUGGGCAAUGGAGGCAACUCUGACCCAGCCAUGCCGCGUGCAGGAAGACGGCCCUAUGGGUUGUAAACUGCUUUUAAUAGGGAUUAAAGUCGACUACGUGUAGUUGUUUGCAAGUACCUAUAGAAUAAGCAUCGGCUAACUCCGUGCCAGCAGCUGC
Molecule: ribosomal RNA, 513 nt
Filed under: uncultured bacterium
Lineage: Bacteria
Description: bacterial SSU rRNA
Rfam family: Bacterial small subunit ribosomal RNA
Source: RNAcentral